AGGAUUAACGCUGGCGGCGUGCCUGACACAUGCAAGUCGAACGAGGCCGCAAGGCCGAGUGGCGGACGGGUGAGUAACACGUGACCAACCAACCUCGAAGUUGGGAAUAGCUCUGCGAAAGUAGGGGUAAUACCGAAUGUGGCCCAGGGCGGGCAUCCGCCUUGGUCUAAAGAUUCAUCGCUUCGAGACGGGGUCGCGGCCUAUUAGCUUGUUGGUGAGGUAACGGCUCACCAAGGCGAUGAUGGGUAGC
RNAcentral lists this ribosomal RNA (250 nucleotides) under uncultured bacterium. RNAcentral's name for it is "partial small subunit ribosomal RNA". It matches the Rfam family "Bacterial small subunit ribosomal RNA", at positions 26 to 287 of the family's 1533-position model. The record is from RNAcentral.